GGAAAGUGGACAAGUUCCUGUAUAUGCUGUCACUUUUCAAGAACCUGAGAAUGAUCCUCGGAAUUGCUGUUACUUGUGGGCUGUUCAGUCUACACAAGAUAGGGGUUAGAAUACUGUGAAGAAAGAUACACCCUGGACCUGACAGGUGGCAUGUUCCCUUUGAGGGGACAGACGAGUAAUACCAAAUUGUUGGGAUGCCAGAGUAUAGAGAAAUUUCGAUCUCAUGGUGACAGGGAGGAAGGUGUGAAUGAAGCUCUAUCGCCUGACACUAGUGUUUCAGUCUUUACCUGGCAGGUGAAUAUAUAUGGACAGGGAAAGCCUUCUGUAUAUUUGGGGCUUUUUGAUAUAAAUCGUUGGUAUCAUGCACAAAUGCCAGAUUCGUUAAGGU
RNAcentral lists this long non-coding RNA (388 nucleotides) under Pan troglodytes (chimpanzee). RNAcentral's name for it is "long non-coding RNA NONPTRT001538". Lineage: Eukaryota; Metazoa; Chordata; Mammalia; Primates; Hominidae. The record is from RNAcentral.